CGGGGUGUGACGCAGUGGGAGCGUGUCAGUUUUGGGAGUUGGAAGUCACAUGUUCGAAUCAUGUCAUCCCGA
This 72-nucleotide transfer RNA is filed under the name Labyrinthula sp. RNAcentral describes it as "tRNA-Pro". It matches the Rfam family "tRNA". From Rfam's summary of the family: Transfer RNA (tRNA) molecules are approximately 80 nucleotides in length. The record is from RNAcentral. Lineage: Eukaryota; Bigyra; Labyrinthulida; Labyrinthulaceae.